GAUGAACGCUAGCUACAGGCUUAACACAUGCAAGUCGAGGGGCAGCAUGAUUGAAGCUUGCUUCAAUCGAUGGCGACCGGCGCACGGGUGAGUAACACGUAUCCAACCUGCCGAUAACUCGGGGAUAGCCUUUCGAAAGAAAGAUUAAUACCCGAUAGUAUAGUAUUUCCGCAUGGUUUCACUAUUAAAGAACUUCGGUUAUCGAUGGGGAUGCGUUCCAUUAGAUAGUUGGCGGGGUAACGGCCCACCAAGUCAACGAUGGAUAGGGGUUCUGAGAGGAAGGUCCCCCACAUUGGAACUGGGACACGGUCCAAACUCCUACGGGCGGCAGCAGUGAGGAAUAUUGGUCAAUGGACGAGAGUCUGAACCAGCCAAGUAGCGUGAAGGAUGACUGCCUUAUGGGUUGUAAACUUCUUUUAUACGGGAAUAAAGUGGAGUAUGCAUACUCCUUUGUAUGUACCGUAUGAAUAAGAAUCGGCUAACUCCGUG
RNAcentral lists this ribosomal RNA (489 nucleotides) under uncultured bacterium. RNAcentral's name for it is "partial 16S ribosomal RNA". It matches the Rfam family "Bacterial small subunit ribosomal RNA", at positions 28 to 507 of the family's 1533-position model. The record is from RNAcentral.